AGUGAACGCUGGCGGUAGGCCUAACACAUGCAAGUCGAGCGGCAGCACAGUAAGAGCUUGCUCUUACGGGUGGCGAGUGGCGGACGGGUGAGGAAUACAUCGGAAUCUACUUUUUCGUGGGGGAUAACGUAGGGAAACUUACGCUAAUACCGCAUACGACCUACGGGUGAAAGCAGGGGAUCUUCGGACCUUGCGCGAUUGAAUGAGCCGAUGUCGGAUUAGCUAGUUGGCGGGGUAAAGGCCCACCAAGGCGACGAUCCGUAGCUGGUCUGAGAGGAUGAUCAGCCACACUGGAACUGAGACACGGUCCAGACUCCUACGGGAGGCAGCAGUGGGGAAUAUUGGACAAUGGGCGCAAGCCUGAUCCAGCCAUACCGCGUGGGUGCAGAAGGCCUUCGGGUUGUAAAGCCCUUUUGUUGGGAAAGAAAAGCAGCAGGUUAAUACCCCGCUGUUCUGACGGUACCCAAAGAAUAAGCACCGGCUAACUUCGUG
Molecule: ribosomal RNA, 492 nt
Filed under: uncultured bacterium
Lineage: Bacteria
Description: partial 16S ribosomal RNA
Rfam family: Bacterial small subunit ribosomal RNA
Source: RNAcentral